This 484-nucleotide ribosomal RNA is filed under the name uncultured bacterium. Its description in RNAcentral is "partial 16S ribosomal RNA". It matches the Rfam family "Bacterial small subunit ribosomal RNA", at positions 29 to 507 of the family's 1533-position model. The record is from RNAcentral.
AUUGAACGCUGGCGGAAUGCUUUACACAUGCAAGUCGAGCGGCAGCGCGGCCUUCGGGCUGGCGGCGAGCGGCGAACGGGUGAGUAAUGCAUCGGAACAUGCCCAGUCGUGGGGGAUAACACUUCGAAAGAAGUGCUAAUACCGCAUACGUCCUGAGGGGGAAAGCGGGGGAUCGCAAGACCUCGCGCGAUUGGAGUGGCCGAUGUCAGAUUAGCUAGUUGGUGGGGUAAAGGCCUACCAAGGCGACGAUCUGUAGCUGGUCUGAGAGGAUGAUCAGCCACACUGGGACUGAGACACGGCCCAGACUCCUACGGGAGGCAGCAGUGGGGAAUUAUGGACAAUGGGGGCAACCCUGAUCCAGCCAUUCCGCGUGAGUGAAGAAGGCCUUCGGGUUGUAAAGCUCUUUCGGCAGGAACGAAACGGUGGGCUCUAACAUAGUCCGCUAAUGACGGUACCUGAAGAAGAAGCACCGGCUAACUACGUG